GCGAAAUACAAUAAUAAAUAGUCAAGAAAUCAGCGUAUUUCAACAAUGGGACCAACGUUGAGGAAGGUGGUCUUCAUCGCGCUGUUGGGCCGGAACCAGCCCCGCCGAAAGCGCAGGUCUGUGUAGGUCCAGAGAUGGUUAAAGUCCUGAAAGCGCAGGUCUGUGUAGGUCCAGAGAUGGUUAAAGUCCUGAAAGCGCAGGUCUGUGUAGGUCCAGAGAUGGGUUAAAGUCCUGAAAGCGCAGGUCUGUGUAGGUCCAGAGAUGAAGCGCAGGUCUGUGUGGGUCCAGAGAUGGUUAAAGUCCCGAAAGCGCAGGUUUGUGUGGGUCGAGAGAUGGUUAAAGUCCCGAAAGCGCAGGUCUGUGUAGGUCCAGAGAUGGUUAAAGUCCCAUAAGCGCAGGUCUGUGUGGGUCCAGAGAUGGGUUAAAGUCCUGAAAGCGCAGGUCUGUGUAGGUCCAGAGAUGAAGCGCAGGUCUGUGUAGGUCCAGAGAUGGGUUAAAGUCCUGAAAGCGCAGGUCUGUGUAGGUCCAGAGAUGGGUUAAAGUCCUGAAAGCGCAGGUCUGUAUAGGUCCAGAGAUGGUUAAAGUCCCGAAAGCAGGCAGGGGAGGUUCAUUCACGUCUCAUUCAAGAGCUUCGACUGUUUGGAAGAGGAAUUCCCAAGUUACGUUCGUCUGGACCGAAGCCAGUUCGAUCACCUGCUCCAGAUGGUUGGAGCCAGGAUCGCCCGGAUGGAUACCAACUACCGGGAGUCCAUCAGCCCAGUCGAACGCCUGGCGGUUUGUCUCCGGUAAAAUACAUUUUUAAAGCCUUUGAUACCAUAAUUUAUAUUUAAUAUAUUGUUGUUUUAAUGUGCAUCCUAGCUAGCUAAAGAGUUCUUUAGUUAAUUGUCCCUAUUUGACAUCAGAUGUACUUUUACAGAAUGUUCAUUAGGACUAUAACUUUUUCCCAAAGUUGGUUUAUAAUCCUUUUUUUAAUUAUGCAAUGUUACCCAAAUGAAAAGAAAGUUGGGGUGCCUUCUGCUCUGAUGAAG
Molecule: long non-coding RNA, 1028 nt
Filed under: Salmo salar (Atlantic salmon)
Lineage: Eukaryota; Metazoa; Chordata; Actinopteri; Salmoniformes; Salmonidae
Description: lncRNA (ENSSSAG00000119887.1)
Source: RNAcentral